This 1393-nucleotide ribosomal RNA is filed under the name uncultured bacterium. Its description in RNAcentral is "bacterial SSU rRNA". It matches the Rfam family "Bacterial small subunit ribosomal RNA". The record is from RNAcentral.
AGAGUUUGAUCCUGGCUCAGGACGAACGCUGGCGGCGCGCCUAACACAUGCAAGUCGAACGGAGCUUAGAGAGCUUGCUUUUUAAGCUUAGUGGCGAACGGGUGAGUAACGCGUGAGUAACCUGCCCUAGAGUGGGGGACAACAGUUGGAAACGACUGCUAAUACCGCAUAAGCCCACGGUACCGCAUGGCACUGAGGGAAAAGGAUUUAUUCGCUUUAGGAUGGACUCGCGUCCAAUUAGCUAGUUGGUGAGGUAACGGCCCACCAAGGCGACGAUUGGUAGCCGGACUGAGAGGUUGAACGGCCACAUUGGGACUGAGACACGGCCCAGACUCCUACGGGAGGCAGCAGUGGGGGAUAUUGCACAAUGGGGGAAACCCUGAUGCAGCGACGCCGCGUGGAGGAAGAAGGUUUUCGGAUUGUAAACUCCUGUCGUUAGGGACGAUAAUGACGGUACCUAACAAGAAAGCACCGGCUAACUACGUGCCAGCAGCCGCGGUAAAACGUAGGGUGCAAGCGUUGUCCGGAAUUACUGGGUGUAAAGGGAGCGCAGGCGGGAAGACAAGUUGGAAGUGAAAACCAUGGGCUCAACCCAUGAAUUGCUUUCAAAACUGUUUUUCUUGAGUAGUGCAGAGGUAGAUGGAAUUCCCGGUGUAGCGGUGGAAUGCGUAGAUAUCGGGAGGAACACCAGUGGCGAAGGCGGUCUACUGGGCACCAACUGACGCUGAGGCUCGAAAGCAUGGGUAGCAAACAGGAUUAGAUACCCUGGUAGUCCAUGCCGUAAACGAUGAUUACUAGGUGUUGGGGGGAUUGACCCCCUCAGUGCCGCAGUUAACACAAUAAGUAAUCCACCUGGGGAGUACGACCGCAAGGUUGAAACUCAAAGGAAUUGACGGGGGCCCGCACAAGCAGUGGAAGUAUGUGGGUUUAAUUCCGAAGCAACCCGGAAGAACCUUUACCAAGGUCUGGACAUUCCAAUGCUAAGCACAAGAGAUGUUGUGAAAACCUCUCGGGAAUUCGAAGACAGGGGGGGGCAAGGGUUUCCCCCACCCUCGUUGCCUGGGAGAGAUUUGGGGUUAAAUCCCCCCACAAAGACGCAACCCUUUAUUGCCCGUUACUACGUUAAGAGGACUCUGGCGAGACUGCCGUUGACAAAACGGAGGAAGGUGGGGAUGACGUCAAAUCAUCAUGCCCUUUAUGACCUGGGCUACACACGUACUACAAUGGCGUUAAACAAAGAGAAGCAAGACCGCGAGGUGGAGCAAAACUCAAAAACAACGUCUCAGUUCAGAUUGCAGGCUGCAACUCGCCUGCAUGAAGUCGGAAUUGCUAGUAAUCGCGGAUCAGCAUGCCGCGGUGAAUACGUUCCCGGGCCUUGUACACACCGCCCGUC